Molecule: ribosomal RNA, 301 nt
Filed under: uncultured bacterium
Lineage: Bacteria
Description: partial 16S ribosomal RNA
Rfam family: Bacterial small subunit ribosomal RNA
Source: RNAcentral
CAGUAGCCACGGUAAUACGAAGGGUGCGAGCGUUACUCGGAAUUACUGGGCGUAAAGCGUGCGUAGGUGGUUGUUUAAGUCUGCUGUGAAAGCCCUGGGCUCAACCUGGGAAUUGCAGUGGAUACUGGGCGACUAGAGUAAGGUAGAGGAUAGUGGAAUUUCCGGUGUAGCAGUGAAAUGCGUAGAGAUCGGAAGGAACAUCUGUGGCGAAGGCGACUAUCUGGGCCAACACUGACACUGAGGCACGAAAGCGUGGGGAGCAAACAGGAUUAGAUACCCCGGUAGUCCCUGUCUCUUAUAC